Molecule: unclassified non-coding RNA, 300 nt
Filed under: uncultured Herpotrichiellaceae
Lineage: Eukaryota; Fungi; Ascomycota; Eurotiomycetes; Chaetothyriales; Herpotrichiellaceae
Description: sequence contains 5.8S rRNA gene, ITS2
Rfam family: 5.8S ribosomal RNA (bases 1-71)
Source: RNAcentral
GUGAGUCAUCGAAUCUUUGAACGCACAUUGCGCCCUUUGGUAUUCCGAAGGGCAUGCCUGUUCGAGCGUCAUUAUCACCCCUCAAGCCCCCGGGCUUGGUGUUGGACGGCCUGGCGGGGACCUCUCGGUCGCCGCCCCUCCCAAAGACAAUGACGGCGGCUCGUUGGACCCCCGGUACACUGAGUUCUUUACGGGACACGUACCGGAUCAAGGGUGCGCGGGCGACGGUCUACCUCCCCCUCGCGGGAGAACUUUUCACAAGGUUGACCUCGGAUCAGGUAGGGAUACCCGCUGAACUUA